UGUGACUCUCUAGAACAUGGCAACCAUGUAAUCUUCCUAUCUGGAGCAGCACCGACCCAUUUUCCUGAUGAGAAACUGUGUUUAGGAUGUGACUCUCUAGAACAUGGCAACCAUGUAAUCUUCCUAACUGGAGCAGCACCGACCCGUUUUCCUGAUGAGAAACUGUGUUUAGGAUGUGACUCUCUAGAACAUGGCAACCAUGUAAUCUUCCUAUCUGGAGCAGCACCGACCCAUUUUCCUGAUGAGAAACUGUGUUUAGCAUGUGGCUCUCUAGAACUUGGCAACCAUGUAAUCUUCCUAUCUGGAGCAGCACCGAACAAUUUUCCUGAAGAGAAACUGUGUUUAGCAUGUGGCUCUCUAGAACUUGGCAACCAUGUAAUCUUCCUAUCUGGAGCAGCACAGACCCGUUUUCCUGAUGAGAAACUGUGUUUAGGAUGUGGCUCUCUAGAACUUGGCAACCAUGUAAUCUUCCAAUCUGGAGCAGCACCGACCCAUUUUCCUGAUGAGAAACUGUGUUUAGCAUGUGGCUCUCUAGAACUUGGCAACCAUGUAAUCUUCCUAUCUGGAGCAGCACCGAACAAUUUUCCUGAAUAGAAACUGUGUUUAGCAUGUGGCUCUCUAGAACUUGGCAACCAUGUAAUCUUCCUAUCUGGAGCAGCACAGACCCGUUUUCCUGAUGAGAAACUGUGGUGAGUAUCAUUUAUAUCGCGAACAACAG
RNAcentral lists this long non-coding RNA (718 nucleotides) under Monodelphis domestica (gray short-tailed opossum). RNAcentral's name for it is "lncRNA (ENSMODG00000033984.2)". Lineage: Eukaryota; Metazoa; Chordata; Mammalia; Didelphimorphia; Didelphidae. The record is from RNAcentral.